Non-coding RNA from Hydra vulgaris (swiftwater hydra), 493 nucleotides. The record is from RefSeq and is a predicted model, not a curated record. NCBI's taxonomy places the organism in Eukaryota, Metazoa, Cnidaria, Hydrozoa, Anthoathecata, Hydridae.
UGGAAAUUAAAUAUAUCAUUAAAGUUAUAGAUAUAUUUAACAAAUAUUGAAAGUUCACAAAGAGAAUUUCACAAAACUGAUAAGGUUAAUUACAUACAAAAAUAAAACUAGAGUGUGAUUUGGUAACGCAUUUAAAGUUACGUGCGUCAUUGCUUCAAAAUGAAAAUAAAAAUUCACGCUAAAACAAAUAUAGUGCUAAAUAUGCCAAGUUUGAAAAUAUAUUUGAUAACAUAACCGAAGGUAAAGAAAAUAGUUUUUUGAUUUUCAUACGCAUAAAAGGUUGAAGUUUUAAUAACUUAAGUUACUUGUCAAAAUUUUGCUACCAAACGCUUGAUUGUGAGAAGAUGACGUUCAACAAUUCUAUUUCCAGAUGGUCUGUAAGCGCAACGAAACAGGAUGGACACUCCCAUUCUGCUUCCGACAACAGAAGCCAAAUCACACUUUAUCGUAAUACAUGUGAAUCCCCAUUUUAUAGCUAGAUUGAAUCCUUUUA